RNAcentral lists this ribosomal RNA (253 nucleotides) under uncultured bacterium. RNAcentral describes it as "partial 16S ribosomal RNA". It matches the Rfam family "Bacterial small subunit ribosomal RNA", at positions 524 to 776 of the family's 1533-position model. The record is from RNAcentral.
UACGUAGGGCGCGAGCGUUAAUCGGAAUUACUGGGCGUAAAGCGUGCGCAGGCGGUUCGUUAUGUCCGAUGUGAAAGCCCCGAGCUUAACUUGGGAAUGGCAUUGGAAACUGGCGGGCUGGAGUGCGGCAGAGGGGGGUGGAAUUCCACGUGUAGCAGUGAAAUGCGUAGAGAUGUGGAGGAACACCGAUGGCGAAGGCAGCCCCCUGGGCCGACACUGACGCUCAGGCACGAAAGCGUGGGGAGCAAACAGG